AUUGAACGCUGGCGGCAGGCCUAACACAUGCAAGUCGAGCGGCAGCACAGAGAUUGCUUGUGGUUUCAGCGGCCGACGGGCGGGCGAUGCCUAAGAAUCUGCCUGUCUGUGUUUGCUAACGUGCUGACGCGGGCGCUAAUACGCCAUUAGUCCUGAGGGCGUACGGGGGGGAUCAUCGGACCUUCCGAUCUUGCGCGAGUCUAGGUCGGAUUAGCUAGUUGGCGGGGUAAAGGCCUACCAAGGCGACGAUCCGUAACUGGUCUGAGAGGAUGAUCAGCCACACUGGAACUGAGACACGGUCCAGACUCCUACGGGAGGCAGCAGUGGGGAAUAUUGGACAAUGGGCGCAAGCCUGAUCCAGCCAUGCCGCGUGUGUGAAGAAGGUCUUCGGAUUGUAAAGCACUUUUGGUGGGGAAGAAGAGCAGUAGGUUAAUACCUCGCUGUUUUGACGGUACCCAAAGAAUAAGCACCGGCUAACUUCGUG
This 484-nucleotide ribosomal RNA is filed under the name uncultured bacterium. Its description in RNAcentral is "partial 16S ribosomal RNA". It matches the Rfam family "Bacterial small subunit ribosomal RNA", at positions 30 to 507 of the family's 1533-position model. The record is from RNAcentral.